This 501-nucleotide ribosomal RNA is filed under the name uncultured bacterium. RNAcentral describes it as "partial 16S ribosomal RNA". It matches the Rfam family "Bacterial small subunit ribosomal RNA", at positions 30 to 523 of the family's 1533-position model. The record is from RNAcentral.
AUUGAACGCUGGCGGCAGGCUUAACACAUGCAAGUCGAGCGGGGAAAGGUAGCUUGCUACCUGACCUAGCGGCGGACGGGUGAGUAAUGCUUAGGAAUCUGCCUAUUAGUGGGGGACAACAUUCCGAAAGGAAUGCUAAUACCGCAUACGCCCUAAAGGGGAAAGCAGGGGAUCUUCGGACCUUGCGCUAAUAGAUGAGCCUAAGUCAGAUUAGCUAGUUGGUGGGGUAAAGGCCUACCAAGGCGACGAUCUGUAGCGGGUCUGAGAGGAUGAUCCGCCACACUGGGGCUGAGACACGGCCCAGACUCCUACGGGAGGCAGCAGUGGGGAAUAUUGGACAAUGGGCGCAAGCCUGAUCCAGCCAUGCCGCGUGUGUGAAGAAGGCCUUUUGGUUGUAAAGCACUUUAAGCGAGGAGGAGGCUACUUGGAUUAAUACUCUAGGAUAGUGGACGUUACUCGCAGAAUAAGCACCGGCUAACUCUGUGCCAGCCGCCGCCGUAA